Molecule: ribosomal RNA, 253 nt
Filed under: uncultured bacterium
Lineage: Bacteria
Description: partial 16S ribosomal RNA
Rfam family: Archaeal small subunit ribosomal RNA
Source: RNAcentral
UACCAGCACCCCGAGUGGUCGGGACGAUUAUUGGGCCUAAAGCAUGCGUAGCCGGCUUUACAAGUCCCCCGUUAAAUCCAACUGCUUAACAGAUGGGCUGCGGAGGAUACUAUAAGACUAGGAGGCAGGAGAGGCAAGCGGUACUCAGUGGGUAGGGGUAAAAUCCGUUGAUCCAUUGAAGACCACCAGUGGCGAAGGCGGCUUGCCAGAAUGCGCUCGACGGUGAGGGAUGAAAGCUGGGGGAGCAAACCGG